GCUCUACCGCUCCACCAAACCCACCACCACUCUUCCUCCCUUACUGACUGCUUCUCUGAACUCACACAGUGGUUCUCAUCGAACUUUCGAACAGUGAUAAAGAUAAAACCAAAAUCCUAAAUAUACAGUAUGUACCAAGUCCACCCAAUCCAAAAUGACAGUUUUUCUAUUAUAGUUGAUAAUUCCUCUGUUUCCCCCUCAGGUUAAGAGUCUGGGUGUCAUCCUCGACAGCAUACUCGCCUUCCAAGCACACAAACAACAUUACCCGGUGUCAUGAGCCAUCCUGCAGUUCUUCUGUUGGAGCCUGGGUGAUGCUUUGCGCCCUCUCGCUCUCUCCCCCACCUCUCUCUUUCCAGCACCUUCCUCGGCCACGCACCUGUCACCAAUCAGUCCUCGUUACUACCUGCAUUUAAGCCUGCCUGAUCCCGGAAAACCUUGCCAGGGUAUUGAAGCUUCCAAGCGUGUAUCCUCCGUGUCCUUCGUCAAGUGGAUCUCUGCCCCCUCUCCGUCAAGCCAGCGCAUCUCAAGGACCAUCUACUUUUCCCUUUUCAAUAAACUGUUCAUCACAACCUCUCAGCCUCUGCCUGGGUCCAGUCUCCAUCCAAUUUGUGACAAUAGGCUCAUCACUUGCGUGCAUAGAGUCCAUUGUCACACCACUGGGUGCAUCUCCAAGGACACACCCUUAACUGCACCGGAAUGCACACCCUUAACUGCACCGGAAUGCCCAGUUAG
Phyllopteryx taeniolatus (common seadragon) is the source of this 732-nucleotide long non-coding RNA. RefSeq lists it as uncharacterized. The transcript has 3 exons. Lineage: Eukaryota; Metazoa; Chordata; Actinopteri; Syngnathiformes; Syngnathidae. The record is from RefSeq and is a predicted model, not a curated record.